This 253-nucleotide ribosomal RNA is filed under the name uncultured bacterium. RNAcentral's name for it is "partial 16S ribosomal RNA". It matches the Rfam family "Bacterial small subunit ribosomal RNA", at positions 524 to 776 of the family's 1533-position model. The record is from RNAcentral.
UACAGAGGAUGCAAGCGUUAUCCGGAAUUAUUGGGCGUAAAGAGCGUGUAGGCGGCCGUACAGGUCAGCUGUGAAAACUCGAGGCUCAACCUCGAGACGUCGGUUGAAACCGUACGGCUAGAGUCCGGAAGAGGAGAGUGGAAUUCCCGGUGUAGCGGUGAAAUGCGCAGAUAUCGGGAAGAACACCCGUGGCGAAGGCGGCUCUCUGGGACGGUACUGACGCUGAGACGCGAAAGCGUGGGGAGCGAACAGG